RNAcentral lists this ribosomal RNA (485 nucleotides) under uncultured bacterium. RNAcentral describes it as "bacterial SSU rRNA". It matches the Rfam family "Bacterial small subunit ribosomal RNA", at positions 15 to 518 of the family's 1533-position model. The record is from RNAcentral.
GAUCAUGGCUCAGGACGAACGCUGGCGGCGUGCCUAACACAUGCAAGUCGAGCGAGGAGAUCCUCGGGAUGAUCCUAGCGGCGGACGGGUGAGUAACACGUGGGCAACCUGCCUCAUAGAGAGGAAUAGCCUUCCGAAAGGGAGAUUAAUACCUCAUAACAUUGCAGUUUCGCAUGGAACAGCAAUUAAAGGAGUAAUCCGCUAUGAGAUGGGCCCGCGGCGCAUUAGCUAGUUGGUGAGGUAACGGCUCACCAAGGCGACGAUGCGUAGCCGACCUGAGAGGGUGAUCGGCCACAUUGGGACUGAGACACGGCCCAGACUCCUACGGGAGGCAGCAGUGGGGAAUAUUGCACAAUGGGGGAAACCCUGAUGCAAGCAACGCCGCGUGAGUGAUGACGGCCUUCGGGUUGUAAAGCUCUGUCUUCAGGGACGAUAAUGACGGUACCUGAGGAGGAAGCCACGGCUAACUACGUGCCAGCCGCUGC